RNAcentral lists this non-coding RNA (25 nucleotides) under Mus musculus (house mouse). The record is from RNAcentral. Lineage: Eukaryota; Metazoa; Chordata; Mammalia; Rodentia; Muridae.
UGACCUUUUGGUGACCCGUCUUUCC